Molecule: transfer RNA, 65 nt
Filed under: Empria parvula
Lineage: Eukaryota; Metazoa; Arthropoda; Insecta; Hymenoptera; Tenthredinidae
Description: tRNA-Tyr
Source: RNAcentral
AAUAAAAUGGCUGACUUAAAGCGAUAAAUUGUAAAUUUAUUUAUGAAAUUUUUUUUCUUUUAUUA